GUCUUUUUGAUAAUAAUAUAAAGUCUAAUCUGCCCACUGAAAUUAUUUAAAGGGCUGCAGUAUAUUGACUGUACAAAGGUAGCAUAAUAAAUAGUCUUUUAAUUGAAGACUUGUAUGAAUGAUUUGAUGAGAUAUAAUCUGUCUCUUUGUUAAAAUUAGAAUUUAAUUUUUUAGUUAAAAAGCUAAAAUAAUUAUAAAAGACGAGAAGACCCUAUAGAGUUUUAUAAUUUUAUAAUUUUAAUUUUUUUAUUAAUUUUAAAUAUUAAAAUUAUAAAAUUAUUUUGUUGGGGUGAUAAAAAAAUUUAUUAAACUUUUUUUUAAAAAUUACAUUAAUUUAUGAAUAAUUGAUCCAUAAUUUAUGAUUAUAAGAAUAAAUUACCUUAGGGAUAACAGCGUAAUUUUUUUUUUUAGUUCUUAUAAAAAGAAAAGUUUGCGACCUCGAUGUUGGAUUAAGAUAAAAUUUAAAUGCAAAAGUUUAAAAUUUUUGAUCUGUUCGAUCAUUAAAAUCUU
RNAcentral lists this ribosomal RNA (510 nucleotides) under Colias erate poliographus. RNAcentral's name for it is "partial 16S ribosomal RNA". The stretch from base 386 to 510 matches the Rfam family "Bacterial large subunit ribosomal RNA", at positions 2473 to 2597 of the family's 2925-position model. The record is from RNAcentral. Lineage: Eukaryota; Metazoa; Arthropoda; Insecta; Lepidoptera; Pieridae.